This 1267-nucleotide ribosomal RNA is filed under the name metagenome. Its description in RNAcentral is "SSU rRNA". It matches the Rfam family "Eukaryotic small subunit ribosomal RNA", at positions 483 to 1743 of the family's 1831-position model. The record is from RNAcentral.
AUACCGGGCCUUUUUGGGCUUGGUAAUUGGAAUGAGGGAGAGUUAAACGGACCAUCGAGUAUCCAUUGGAGGGCAAGUCUGGUGCCAGCAGCUGCGGUAAUACCAGCUCCAAUAGCGUAUAUUAAAGUUGUUGCAGUUAAAAAGCUCGUAGUUGGACUUGUGUGCGCUGUCCGCGGGUGGCCUGCGCCCAAAAGGGCGUUUCGGUUCGGCCCCGGUGGCGCCUUGAAAUCUGCAGCUGGGGGGACGUUGGCCUUAACUGGUCGGCGACCGCACGCCGGCUGCUCGGUUACUGUGAGAAAAUUAGAGUGUUCAAGGCAGGCAUUGGGUGCAAUUGAAUACAUUAGCAUGGAAUAAUAAAAUAUGGCUCCUGCCGUAUUUUGUUGGUUUUGACUGGUGGGAGUAAUGAUUGAUAGGGACGGUUGGGGGUGCUAGUAUUGAGCGGCCAGAGGUGAAAUUCAUGGAUUCGCUCAAGACUAACUUAUGCGAAAGCAUUCACAAAGGACGUCCUCUUUAAUCAAGAACGAAAGUUGGGGGAUCGAAGACGAUCAGAUACCGUCGUAGUCUCAACCAUAAACUAUGUCGACUUGGGAUCGGCGGUAGUUUUUUCAUUAAGACACUGUCGGGACCACGGGAGAAAUCAAAGUGUCUGGACUCUGGGGGAAGUAUGGUCGCAAGGCUGAAACUUGAAGGAAUUGACGGAAGGGCACCACCAGGAGUGGAGCCUGCGGCUUAAUUUGACCCAACACGGGGAAACUUACCAGGUCCAGAGAUGUAGAGGAUUGACAGAUUGAAGCUCUUUCUUGAUCACUUCGGUGGUGGUGCAUGGCCGUUCUUAGUUGGUGGAGUGAUUUGUCUGGUUAAUUCCGUUAACGAACGAGACCUCAGCCUGCUAGUGUAGUCGGCUGGAUUGCCUUUGGCGAUCCGUGAUUUCGACUUCUUAGAGGGACAAUCGACGCGCAGUCGAUGGAAGUUUGAGGCAAUAACAGGUCUGUGAUGCCCUUAGAUGUUCUGGGCCGCACGCGCGCUACACUGCUGGGCUCAGCGAGUUUUACUUGGCCGAGAGGCCCGGUUAAUCUUGUGAAAUCCCAGCGUGCUUGGGCUCGCCUCCUGCAACUGGAGGCGCCAACGAGGAAUUCCUAGUAGACGCAGGUCAUCAACCUGCAUCGAUUACGUCCCUGCCCUUUGUACACACCGCCCGUCGUUCCAUAAGAGUGAGGCAUCCGGUGAAUUCUCGGGAGAGCCUGGGCGUGGCCAGCAAUGGUCUGCU